RNAcentral lists this long non-coding RNA (427 nucleotides) under Carica papaya (papaya). RNAcentral describes it as "long non-coding RNA (CPAP_LNC009249)". The record is from RNAcentral. Lineage: Eukaryota; Viridiplantae; Streptophyta; Magnoliopsida; Brassicales; Caricaceae.
GAGUCUUACAUUGUAACAUCUCGAUAAAGAAUAAAAAAAUUUAGAAUUUAAUAGGAAAAAGGGAAUCAAUUGCUCAUAUUUUUUUUGGAGAUCGGAUGGCUCUAGGACGUCAUAUUUAAGCUACCUUUUUCCUACCUAUCCGAGGAGAAGAAACCCUAAAGAAAAAUAGGGGGAGGCGAGGUGAAAUAGAGGCCAGGAGAGGGAAGAAGAAGGGAGACGGUGGUGAAGGAAGGAGAAGAAUAGGAAGAAGAGAUGGUGAUGGAAGAAGAAGAAGAAGAAGAUUUGUGCGCGCGAUCGAAAAGCAUCGUGUGGUGCGCGCGACCGAAAAACAUUGUGUGGUGCGUGCGACCGAAAAGCAUCAUGUGGUACGUCUUGUGUAAAGGGCGAAGGAGAGAGAAUAGAAGUAUGAUGCGAGCGAUCAAGGAAN